Cordylochernes scorpioides is the source of this 83-nucleotide non-coding RNA. Lineage: Eukaryota; Metazoa; Arthropoda; Arachnida; Pseudoscorpiones; Chernetidae. The record is from the annotation of a GenBank genome assembly.
UGUCCAGGGAUGGGAAUCGAACCCACAGUGUUCCGCUUACCGGGCAGAUGCCAUGUCCACACAUGCCGUUCCCAUCCCUGGAC